This 686-nucleotide ribosomal RNA is filed under the name Clostridioides difficile. RNAcentral's name for it is "bacterial LSU rRNA". It matches the Rfam family "Bacterial large subunit ribosomal RNA", at positions 771 to 1465 of the family's 2925-position model. The record is from RNAcentral. Lineage: Bacteria; Bacillati; Bacillota; Clostridia; Peptostreptococcales; Peptostreptococcaceae.
GGUCCGAACCCACGAGCGUUGAAAAGCUCGGGGAUGACUUGUGGGUAGCGGUGAAAUUCCAAUCGAGCCCGGAGAUAGCUGGUUCUCCCCGAAAUAGCUUUAGGGCUAGCCUCAAGGUGAGAGAUACGGAGGUAGAGCACUGAAUGUCCUAGGGGGUAUUGCACCUACCGAAGACUAUCAAACUCCGAAUGCCGUCAUCUUAUACUUGGGAGUCAGACUGUGGGUGAUAAGAUUCAUAGUCGAAAGGGCAACAGCCCAGAUCGUCAGCUAAGGUCCCUAAAUGUAAGUUAAGUGGUAAAGGAUGUGGGAUUGCACAGACAACCAGGAUGUUGGCUUAGAAGCAGCCACUCAUUCAAAGAGUGCGUAAUAGCUCACUGGUCGAGUGAUCCUGCGCCGAAGAUUUCCGGGGCUAAAACUUACUACCGAAGCUACGGCAUCAGUAAUGAUGGGUAGGGGAGCUUCCCAUACGGGUUGAAGCAUGACCGUAAGGACAUGUGGACAGUAUGGGAGUGAGAAUGUUGGCAUGAGUAGCGAGAUGUGGGUGAGAAUCCCACAGGCCGUAAACCCAAGGUUUCCAGGGGAAGGUUCGUCCGCCCUGGGUUAGGCGGGACCUAAGCUGAGGCCGAAAGGCGUAGGUGAUGGACAACAGGUUGAUAUUCCUGUACUACCGAUAACCAUAAGAGAGA